This 561-nucleotide long non-coding RNA is filed under the name Polistes fuscatus (common paper wasp). Its description in RNAcentral is "uncharacterized LOC122522893". Lineage: Eukaryota; Metazoa; Arthropoda; Insecta; Hymenoptera; Vespidae. The record is from RNAcentral.
GAGAAUACAGUCUAAGGCGCGUUUUCCUAUCUCGAGACAAAGUAUUUACGAAGGAUCGCAAGCGGCAAUGCACGAGAAAACGAUGACUUUGUCAGUAACAUCGUAAAUUAUGUAUGGCAGAAAAUAUCGACAAAAUCUUUUGCUAUAUGGGUAUACUUUAAGUAUAUGUGAAAGAGGUUUGAGAGAAAAAGAAAAUGAAUAGAAUGAUGAGAGAGAGAGAGAGAGAGAGAGAAAGAAAAGUUACUCGCUGUGCUUGUGUCCGUCGAAGCAGAUCCUUCUAGGAUGCUAAAGGAGAGGAGAGGAGAGGAGAGGAGAGUGAAGAGGAUGGUGGGUGGGUGAGUGGGUGGUAAAAGUACCCUUUAAAAUUCAGGAGAACAUCGUCCAGAGAGGAUUUCACGGGCUGGAAGUGUCGAGCUACAAAGUGGCCCCUUGAAGUACGUAAUUUAAAAACACGUGGCCGAUGGAGGAGGAGGAGUUUUUCUCAGAAAGGACCAUCGACUUCUUGGCAGUGAAAGAGAAAAGCAGAAGAAGAGAAAAAAAGGAAAGGUAUAUAAAAGAAAA